GAUGUCAACUAAAGAACUAGCCAAACAGCCAAAGGUCAAUCAAGAGAGGGAAUCGAUUUUGUUACCCGUUUUGCUAGCUGUUUUCAGUAUGCUCUUCUUUAUGCUACUGUUAGCUUUAGUGUUGUUGUACGCUAUUCCAGGUAAAGUUAAUAACUUGAACUAGCCACAGGUUUAACUGUGUUCAAUUGGGAAGCCAAACUUAAUCUCGCACUUUUAAUGAACUAGUUUUUGUGCGCAACUUAAUUAAAAACGUUUUUCGCUCUUUUCGCACCGC
Molecule: small RNA, 274 nt
Filed under: Mycoplasmoides pneumoniae M129
Lineage: Bacteria; Bacillati; Mycoplasmatota; Mycoplasmoidales; Mycoplasmoidaceae
Description: Mycoplasma pneumoniae M129 ncRNA
Source: RNAcentral